CCUGCCAAAUUGUGACUCUGUGGUUCCGCAUUGAUAUAUUUUAAAUCUCUACACCAUCUGGCUUGGUUUAGAAUAAGUGUUAGGAUCAGUUUAGGCAUAUCACUUUAGUUUGUCGUCAGUGAAGGAGGCGUUCUCUUCGUGUGGUCAAUUGCUUUAAUUCAAAACGCUUGAAUCAAAGAUCAGAGCACUUUGAGGAGUGGCGUGCUGUGGUCCUGAAUGAAAUUAAUUUAUUCUCAAUUUAUCCAGCUUCCACGAGUUUCAGACCCCUUGAAGGCCUUGUGGUUUCACACCUCUCCCCCAUGUAGUCUACUAUGUCUGGAUAGAUCAAAGACACAAGGGAUACAGGUGAGGAAACGGUGUUAGCGAUUUGACCGGACGAGGAAGUCAUCUCUCCAGAGAGGAGACUGUAACAAAAACAGCCAGUCCAGACCAGCCCGGCACACCCACUCCUGUGUGUAAAUCUAACUGACAUCUCACUGAGAGGAGAGGGAGCAAAACCCCUGUUGACUGCAUCAGAACCAGACCUGGGUCCAACCAGUAUGUACUCUAUACUUUCAAAUACUAUGAGAAUUUGCUUUAGCCUGACCUGGAGUGUCAAAUGGGUGGGUUUUCAAAUCAAAUUGUAUUUGUCACAUGCGCCGAAUACAACAGGUGUAGUAGACCUU
Molecule: long non-coding RNA, 665 nt
Organism: Oncorhynchus gorbuscha (pink salmon)
Lineage: Eukaryota; Metazoa; Chordata; Actinopteri; Salmoniformes; Salmonidae
Exons: 4
Source: RefSeq, a predicted model, not a curated record